RNAcentral lists this transfer RNA (71 nucleotides) under Loxodonta africana (African savanna elephant). It matches the Rfam family "tRNA". From Rfam's summary of the family: Transfer RNA (tRNA) molecules are approximately 80 nucleotides in length. The record is from Rfam by way of RNAcentral. Lineage: Eukaryota; Metazoa; Chordata; Mammalia; Proboscidea; Elephantidae.
GCAGUGGUGGUUCAGUGGUAGGACUCUCACCUACCAUGCAAGAGACCUGGGUUUGAUUCCCAGUGAAUGCA